CGGUUCUACACGGAGGCCUAGGGAGGCCCGUGCCUCUGUAGACAUGUCCCUGGCCACCCCUGUGGCCCCCCCGUGCUGACCAAAUAAAACAAUUAUGAAUUUAUUAAGAUUUUACACACGAGCGCCAAAAGCGGAACUAAUGCGACGCAUCGUUCUACACGGGUAAAUUAGAGCGGCGCACCGAAACACUGUGGCGCUGCUCGGUGAAUGAGAGCGCAGCAACAACUAACUACUCUUGGAUAGAGGAGCUACGAUUCAUUUCUCCUGUUGCAAGAGUCGAAGUUAAGCGAAACAAUUUCAUCUCGUGAGUGACUUGUUGUUCUUGCACAUAACCGUGUUACUUUUGUUUUUCACACUGAUAAUGAAAUCAAGUUUGUAAAUGGCUGGUUUCGAGAUGUUUAAAAGCUUGGUAACACUUUUACAUUUGUUACUGUAUUUGUUAAUCUUUGUUAACGUUAGUUAAUAAAAAUAUACAGCUGUUCAUGUUAGUUCACAGCGCAUUAACUAAUGUUAACAAGAAUUUAAUAAAGUAUUAGUAAAUGUUGAAAUUAACAUUAACAAAGAUUAAUAAAUGCUGUAUAUGUGCAGUUCAUUAUUAGUUCAUGUUAACUAAUGUAGUUAACUAACGAACCUUAUUAUAAAGUGUUACCAAAACUCUUGUACAUAAUAAAUGUUUGUAUGAUUUUAAAGUAAAAUAAAAUUUAUAAUCUUUAAAUAUCAUUUGUUGUCAUUUUUUAAUGUGCCCCUCUGGUUAAACACUGGCCCCUUCUUGGCCCCCCUAGUAAAAUUUGUCUAGAACCGCCACUGAUUGUGUGAAAUUGCUAAUAAAAAUAGGUAAUAAAAAACGAUUAUGAUGUGGAGGUGGUUUAGUCUUGACUUAUGGUCGUGAGUGACAGCGUUGGGGGAUGGGAAAUCUGUUUGUUCUGUUACAGUGAUUGUCUAAGUCAACAGUAAUUAAGGAAUAAAUGUUUAGGUUGUAGUUUGUAUCCCCCUACUGGCUGCUCUGAGAAUAACACUGUCAUUAUCAUGUGACUGAUCCAAUGACUAACAAGGAAAUUAGUGCCUUCCAUGCUGCUGUUCUAUUGCAGAGGCAGAAAGCAGUGAAUCAGUAUGUAUCUGCAUUCAUCCUUGGCCUUUGGUAGCUUCGUCGUUUUACUCUGCCUUUAUUAAAGUUUGGAAAAGGACAUUCCCUGUCCGUGAAGUUAAUGAGGAGAGUUUAACUUGCUGUUGAAGUAUAUACAGGACAUAUAUGGAGAACAGUACACUGUUGAUUGUCGAUUACAAAGUAAACACAGCGAUGGAGAGAAAAAGGCCAAAGCUGUCAGGUGCCCAAUUUAGGAAAAAAAGAAAAUAAGAUGAGGAGAAAUGGGCAAAAGAUAAAGGGGCACUUCUAAAAUAUUUUGGAGCAUCCUCUGCCACUUUUCAGGAUGAGGCACCUACCUCCCCCACUACACAGGACACAGGAAUGGUCUCUGCUUUUCAGGAUGAGCUACCAUCUAUAUUUUAUUUGUAUAUUAUUCUUAAUAAUGUAAAAUAUUUUUUUCUUAAAUAAUAUUUGUUUGUACACAGUAUAUUUAUUUAAGUUAUGAGCAGUUUAUUAUUAUUAUUUUUUUUUUUUUGCAAAAAUUGGUCUGUUACGGGAUGACGUACUAUUACUACAA
Molecule: long non-coding RNA, 1661 nt
Organism: Labeo rohita (rohu)
Lineage: Eukaryota; Metazoa; Chordata; Actinopteri; Cypriniformes; Cyprinidae
Exons: 3
Source: RefSeq, a predicted model, not a curated record